This is a small nuclear RNA of Loxodonta africana (African savanna elephant), 107 nucleotides long. The record is from Ensembl. Lineage: Eukaryota; Metazoa; Chordata; Mammalia; Proboscidea; Elephantidae.
GUGCUUGCUUAGGCAGCACAUACAUUAAAAUCGGAGCGAUACAGAGAAGAUGAACAUGGCGGCUGCGGAAGAAUGGCUGGCGAAUUGGCGAAGCGUUCCGUGUUUCU